This 395-nucleotide ribosomal RNA is filed under the name Enterococcus faecalis. RNAcentral's name for it is "partial 23S ribosomal RNA". It matches the Rfam family "Bacterial large subunit ribosomal RNA", at positions 1678 to 2084 of the family's 2925-position model. Lineage: Bacteria; Bacillati; Bacillota; Bacilli; Lactobacillales; Enterococcaceae. The record is from RNAcentral.
AUCCUAAGGUGAGCGAGCGAACUCUCGUUAAGGAACUCGGCAAAAUGACCCCGUAACUUCGGGAGAAGGGGUGCUGACUUCGGUCAGCCGCAGUGAAUAGGCCCAAGCGACUGUUUAUCAAAAACACAGGUCUCUGCAAAAUCGUAAGAUGAAGUAUAGGGGCUGACGCCUGCCCGGUGCUGGAAGGUUAAGAGGAUGGGUUAGCUUCGGCGAAGCUCAGAAUUGAAGCCCCAGUAAACGGCGGCCGUAACUAUAACGGUCCUAAGGUAGCGAAAUUCCUUGUCGGGUAAGUUCCGACCCGCACGAAAGGCGUAACGAUUUGGGCACUGUCUCAACGAGAGACUCGGUGAAAUUUUAGUACCUGUGAAGAUGCAGGUUACCCGCGACAGGACGGA